Molecule: RNA transcript, 3050 nt
Organism: Hevea brasiliensis (rubber tree)
Lineage: Eukaryota; Viridiplantae; Streptophyta; Magnoliopsida; Malpighiales; Euphorbiaceae
Gene name: protein CDC73 homolog
Exons: 7
Source: RefSeq, a predicted model, not a curated record
ACGAGAGAAAACACAGAAAAAUGGGUCCUAAUCUAUAAUGUGUUGGCUCGUUUCGGCUGUGCGCAGAGGUAUUUGCUCACUAUUAAACUCCUGGAAGGGUCCAGUAACAAAAGAAGCCCUGAAAGCCCAAGUAGAAGAAGCCCUGAAGGCUCACUGGUUUAGGCAAUUUGAAGCCCAAUCUCCUUUCUCAAAUUCCAAUCUUCGUUCAAUCCAAAUCCUCGGCAAUAAAAUUCACCCAGAACAGUAUGUUGGCUACUCACAUAAUCUUCUGCAGCAAAAUCCCAAUCUUCGUUGUCAUCAACCUUUAUCACUUCAUAUCGUUGCGCCUUUUUUCUCAGUUUCCGUCCAUAGUCCAAACCUCCAAGGUUCCAAAUUUCUCCUAAAUGGAUCCUCUUUCGGCUCUCCGCGACUUCACCAUUCGCGGCGAAGUGGACAAGAUCGUCCGAGUUAACGAGGAGUUCCGUUUCGGAACCGAUUACACCUUCCCUUGCUCUAUAAAGACUGCUUAUCGCUCUAAGCACGGCAAUCUCUACACCCUCGAAACUCUGGUUUACUACAUCCAGAACGCCAAUCUCAAGUUCACUGAUUACCUCCAGAAUGCUCGUGCCGUUGGCCUCACCCCCAUAACCUUUAUCGACCGCAAGCCCCUUUUCGAUUACCUCACCGGAAAGCUCUCCUCCACCGACUCCAUCGUUUACCCUCUUCCCCAGCAGCAACAACAGCAUCAGCAAAACCCUAAUGCUGAUCUCGCCAACGAGUACCGACCCGACGACCCCGCUUUCCUCGAUUCUCAUGAUGCUGAUGUGGCGGGAGCUGAUAAUGGUAAAGAGGAGGAUCCCAUUACUAUGAUAUACUCCAUGGAGAGGCCUCUCAAGGAUAGGGAGUCGUUGUUGGAGUGCAAGAACAGAGAUUUUUAUAGUGUGCUGGUGGCCUCUACUCGGCGUGAAGAGGAGAGGCAGAGAAUCGAAUCCCAGCAGAGGAAGGAUGGGUUGGUGGCUAAGAGUAGAUUGAUGGGGGCUGACGAGAGAGGAAUUGGAUAUGGUGAUGAGCUGGGUUAUGAUGCGACACCCAAGCCCAAAAUGCAUUUGAAAGGAGGCAAAUUUGGGGAAGGAGUGCCCAUAAUUUUAGUUCCCAGUGCGUUCCAGACUUUGAUUACUAUUUAUAAUGUGAAGGAGUUUUUGGAGGAUGGAAUUUAUAUACCUACGGAUGUGAAGGUGAAGCAAAUGAAAGGGGCGAAGCCAGACUGUGUCACAGUACAGAAGAAAUUUAGUACUGAUAGGAAUAGGGUGAUGACUGCAUAUGAGGUCAGGGACAAGCCGUCUGCGCUCAAGGCUGAGGAUUGGGACCGGGUUGUGGCUGUUUUCGUGUUGGGAAAAGAGUGGCAAUUCAAGGAUUGGCCGUUUAAGGAUCACGUGGAGAUAUUUAAUAAAAUCAUUGGAUUUUUCAUGAGGUUUGAAGAUGACAGUGUAGAAUCAGCAAAGACUGUGAAGCAAUGGAAUGUAAAGAUCAUCUCGAUUAGCAAGAACAAGAGACACCAGGAUAGGGCAGCAGCAUUGGAAGUGUGGGACAGACUUGAAGAGUUUGUGCGCUCACGAUCACAUUCAUGAAUUUGAAAAUGGAACUGUAUCAUGACAAUUAUGAGUUGCACAAUGUCGUUCGACGUUGUGGAGUGUUGGGGAUGCCUUGUUCUGUAUAUAUGGAGAUGUCUAUGGUCAGGCCACUGAGUGCUUGUCUUUUGGUCAAUUAAAUGCCAAUGGCUUGUUGCAGCCGAUACUUAGUUUUCUGCAGAAGUGACUGUGUUUGGGCUACAAAAUUUUCAGUGUAAGGUUGAAACAUAUGAAGCUGCAAAGAGAAGGAAUGCGAGCAAUGAGAUUGACAACUUGGUGGAGCUCCCAUUUGAUGUUCCAUCUACUUCUCUUGAUGGUACAGUUUUAGAUCCAGUUCCUACAAGAAGUCAAACAAGUUAAACCAGAGAAGAGAAUGAAGAAUUUGUGCAAAACGUUCAAUGGCUUACUGGCAAAGAAGCAUUGAAAACCUUAUUGUUUAUGAAAGCAUGCAGUACCUGAAGGUGUACUUGGAACUUCUGGUGUUCCUGCUGGAGAGGCGGCUGGAGAAGUGGCUGUUUACAUACAGCGGCUGGUGGGUGGAGUCUGAACAUUGCAAGCACCAGGCAAAGCAAGAGCCUGGGUCUGGUUGAUGUUGAUCCCAAGUGAUGAGCCACCACCAUUUAGAACCUCACACAAGCACUGGGGUGAAGAGCGAACGACACUGGAAAGCUGUGUGCAGCACUGUGAAGAUGGAGUUGAGCUGUUCCCUGUGAUGUAAUUCAGGCAUGGUGACAUGCUUAUUAAGACAUUUGUACAACUAGACUGUGCCAUAGCUCCUGCCCAUAGCACGCUCACUAGGAUCAAAGCCAAACUCGUUGCCAUUUGUGUGUGUGCCAUUGGGUCUCUGGAAAUGCCUGUAGAAUGUGAAUAUAUCCUGCAACUACUUAAGUUUGAUGGAAUUGGGAGAAAGAAGUCUGGCUUUUAUAGGAAUUUGAGGCCAGAGCUGACAAAUGAGAAUUGGAUUAUGUGGGUGACCAACUAUUCCUGACCUCCUAACCGGGUUCUUUGGUAAAAAGCUGAAGGUGUUCAAACCUGGACCCUUGGAUACUUGCUAUGCCUAUACGUGGCUUACCUGGGAAGGCCUUGGAGUUUGGUUGUGUAGGUGACCGACUUGUGCUGCUUGAAGUCUUAGAUACAGAGUAAUAAUAAGGGAUUCAAACAUGGAGACUUUUAGAAAUUCUGAUUCCAUAGGGAGAAGCAUAACGUGCUUCUGACUGCACCUUUACUAGAAUUUGGCUUUGUGCUUUCUCUUUCAGAAUCUGAGAGAACUGAUUUAGAAAGCAUAAAAAAUUCUGGUGGAAGAAGAUUAAAGGACUGCUGGCUCUUUUUUGACAGUGUAUUUAGCUACGUGUCUUCCUGUUGCUUCAAACCUAAGGAAAAUUUGAUAAUGAUAUUUUCUCGCAAUGAACAAGGAUAAACUUGUCCAGAAAGAAUGUUGAGCUA